UACGGAGGGUGCAAGCGUUAUCCGGAUUUACUGGGUUUAAAGGGUGCGUAGGUGGGCAGUUAAGUCAGUGGUGAAAUCUCCGGGCUUAACCCGGAAACUGCCAUUGAUACUAUCUGUCUUGAAUAUCCUGGAGGUGAGCGGAAUAUGUCAUGUAGCGGUGAAAUGCUUAGAUAUGACAUAGAACACCCAUUGCGAAGGCAGCUCACUACGGGAUCAUUGACACUGAGGCACGAAAGCGUGGGGAUCAAACAGG
Molecule: ribosomal RNA, 253 nt
Filed under: uncultured bacterium
Lineage: Bacteria
Description: partial 16S ribosomal RNA
Rfam family: Bacterial small subunit ribosomal RNA
Source: RNAcentral